CAGCUGUCAAAUGUGAUGCUAUACCUUGUCGUUCAAAUCUUACCUCUAUCUCUGUACAACGAGUUAAAUAUGGUCAGUGUAGUGAGAUUUGUGAAACUAAUCAUGCUUUUACGCCUAUCGUCGUAG
RNAcentral lists this ribosomal RNA (126 nucleotides) under Triticum aestivum (bread wheat). RNAcentral describes it as "partial small subunit ribosomal RNA". The record is from RNAcentral. Lineage: Eukaryota; Viridiplantae; Streptophyta; Magnoliopsida; Poales; Poaceae.